This 100-nucleotide transfer RNA is filed under the name Leptospira kirschneri str. JB. RNAcentral's name for it is "tRNA-Leu". Lineage: Bacteria; Pseudomonadati; Spirochaetota; Leptospiria; Leptospirales; Leptospiraceae. The record is from RNAcentral.
GGCACCAAACGAAUUGUUUAGCGUUUUUGAAAGUUUUAAGAGAAUUUUGGAUCUCUUUUGCAGGAAAAGGAUAAAUUUGUUCUACUCGAAUCAGUGCUAC